AAAAGCAGGGGAUCGUAAGACCUCGCGCUAUUGGAGCGGCCGAUGUCCGAUUAGCUAGUUGGUGGGGUAAUGGCCUACCAAGGCGACGAUCGGUAGCUGGUCUGAGAGGAUGAUCAGCCACACUGGGACUGAGACACGGCCCAGACUCCUACGGGAGGCAGCAGUGGGGAAUUUUGGACAAUGGGCGAAAGCCUGAUCCAGCCAUGCCGCGUGAGUGAAGAAGGCCUUCGGGUUGUAAAGCUCUUUCGGCCGGAACGAAAUCGUCCGGGCUAAUACCCCGGAUGGAUGACGGUACCGGAAGAAGAAGCACCGGCUAACUACGUGCCGGCAGCCGCGGUAAUACGUAGGGUGCAGGCGUUAAUCGGAAUUACUGGGCGUAAAGCGUGCGCAGGCGGCUUCCUAAGUCAGAUGUGAAAUCCCCGGGCUUAACCUGGGAACUGCGUUUGAAACUACAAAGC
Molecule: ribosomal RNA, 458 nt
Filed under: uncultured beta proteobacterium
Lineage: Bacteria; Pseudomonadati; Pseudomonadota; Betaproteobacteria
Description: bacterial SSU rRNA
Rfam family: Bacterial small subunit ribosomal RNA
Source: RNAcentral